RNA transcript from Myotis myotis, 7214 nucleotides. It is a transcript of the gene named SH3 domain containing ring finger 2, with no coding region annotated. The record is from RefSeq and is a predicted model, not a curated record. NCBI's taxonomy places the organism in Eukaryota, Metazoa, Chordata, Mammalia, Chiroptera, Vespertilionidae. The transcript has 13 exons.
CUGCCCCUCCGGGUCAGGACUAGAGUUUUAAAAUAAGAUGGAUGAUUUGACGUUACUUGAUCUCCUGGAGUGCCCCGUGUGCUUGGAAAAGCUCGAUGUCACAGCCAAAGUCCUCCCUUGCCAGCACACCUUCUGCAAACCAUGUCUCCAGAGGAUCUCCAAGGCCCACAAGGGGCUGCGCUGCCCCGAAUGCAGAACCCUGGUGUUUGGCAGCAUCGAGGCGCUGCCCGCCAACCUGCUGCUCGUGCGCCUUCUGGACGGCGUGCGCUCGGGGCCGAGCUCUGGGAGAGGGGGCUCCUUCCGCAGGCCUGGCGUGCUGGCCUUGCAGGACGGCAAGAAGAGCAGGACUCACCCCAGAGGUCUGCAGGCCAGCCCGUUCCGACUCGUGCCCAACAUCAGAAUCCACAUGGAUGGGGUGCCUCGAGCAAAGGCCUUAUGCAACUACCGAGGGCAGAAUCCCGGUGACCUGAGGUUUAAUAAGGGCGAUGUCAUUCUCCUUCGGAGACAGCUGGACGAGAACUGGUACCAGGGGGAGAUCAAUGGAGUCAGUGGGUUCUUCCCGGCCAGCUCUGUGGAGGUCAUCAAGCAGCUGCCCCAGCCACCCCCACUUUGCCGGGCCCUCUACAACUUUGACCUACGAAAUAAGGACAAGAGUGACAACCAGGACUGCCUGACCUUCCUCAAGGAUGAUAUCAUCACUGUGAUCAGCCGAGUGGAUGAGAACUGGGCAGAAGGGAAGUUAGGAGACAAAAUCGGCAUCUUCCCAAUCUUGUUUGUUGAGCCAAACCUCACCGCGAGACACCUGCUAGAGAAGAACAAAGGCCACCACCCGUCUCGCACAAAAAGCCUGUCCCUGGUGUCCUCCUCCAGAGGCAAAGCCACCAACACGCCCAGCCUCCGAAGGGGCCCUGGGUCCAGAAGGAAGGGGCCCGGGCAGCUCUCCAUCACAACAGCCUUGAACACCCUCAACAGGAUGGUCCAUUCUCCCUCGGGGCGCCAUAUGGUGGAGAUCAGCACCCCAGUGCUUAUCAGCUCUAGCAACCCCUCUGUGAUCGGCCAGCACGUGGAGAAAGCAGAUGUUCUUCCCAGUUCUUUGGGGCAGGUCAGCAUGUAUCACGCCACGCCUGCCUCCCCAGGACAUUCCAUGGCCAUCGUCAGUCUGCCUGGCUCCCAGCAACACCUCUCAGCUAACAUGUUUGUAGCUCUGCACUCCUACUCCGCCCACGGACCCGAUGAGCUGGACCUGCAGAGGGGAGAAGGCAUCAGGGUCCUGGGGAAGUACCAGGACGGCUGGCUCAAGGGAGUCUCCUUGGUCACCGGGCGAGUCGGCAUCUUCCCCAACAACUACGUCAUCCCCAUUUUCAGAAAGACAUCUAGUUUUCCAGACGCCCGGAGCCCUGGUCUCUACGCCACAUGGACAUUGUCGACCUCCUCUGUGUCCUCCCAAGGCAGCAUUUCAGAAGGUGAUCCCCGACAAAGCCGCCCCUUCAAGUCCGUCUUUGUGCCCACGGCCAUAGUCAACCCCGUGCGGAGCACAGCCAGCCUGGGCGCUCCAGGACAGAGCACUCUCCGGAAAGGGCGGGGCAGCAUGAGAAAGAGUAAGUGGUGGCAGAGAGAUGGAUCCCUGCAGAGACCCAUCCCGUCAGGGAUCCCCACCCUUGUGGUGGGCUCUCUCAGACGCAGCCCCACCAUGGUCGUCCGGCCUCAGCAGUUCCAGUUCCACCAGCCACCGGCGGUCCCCUCCUCACCCUUGAUGGUGGUGGCGGAGAUGGGACCCAAGCCGGCUCCCACGGGGGAGCCUGCCCUCACGUGCGUCAGCAGAGGCAGUGAGUCCAGGAUCCACUCAACCGCCAGCUCCAUCAUCAUGGAAGGCAAGGAAAUCCCCAUCAAGAGCGAGCCUCCACUCAAACCGCCCGCAUCUGCCCCGCCAUCCAUCCUGGUGAAGCCAGAAAACUCCAGAAACAGCAGCGAAAAGCAAGUCAAGACCGUGAGAUUUCAGAAUUACAGCCCUCCUCCCACCAAACACAGCACCUCCGGGAAGCCUGAACAUCCCACCACCCCUAAGGGGUCCCAGCCUGAAGCCAACCCCUUGGGCCCAGAGAUGACCAUCCUAUUCGCCCACCGCAGCGGCUGCCAUUCCGGACAGCAGACAGACCCCCGGAGGAAGUCAGCUUUCAGCAAGACCGUGGCCCCAGUGUCUUCCGCCUCCGCCACACAGACCAUGUUUCCCAGCAAAUGAAUCUUCGGGUGGCUUUUCCUAGAUCCCAAAGAGUAACUCAGUCCCAGAUAAACUGGAAGUGAAUUCUGCAUAUACCACAUAGACUACAUUUUAAAUCAGACCAGCCCGAAUCUAUCUUCCAAAUUUGAUGCAACGCUACCCGCAGUCUUCUGAUGCAAUGAGGGGAACAGGACUGGCCCACUGACCCGUAAUCUGCAUUAUAGUUUGGGUCACAGACCCUUUUGAGAAUAUGAACUCACUCCUCGAGGGAAAAUAAAAAUACGUGCACACCGACAUGCAAAAUUGUGCAUUCAAUUCCACGGGGUUCAGGAUCCAUUGAAAACGAUCAACAGGCCUCUGGUUAAGAAUCCCUGAUGUACAGUUAAGAUGUUAUGUCAUCUCACAUCGGGAAAGAUGACAACCUUGAUGAAUACAAACCUUUCCAAGCAGACAGACUCUGUCUGGGCUCAGAGGAGAACCGGGUAGCAAGAGGGCAACGAUGGAGUAGCUGCUUUUCAGAUACCAAAGAGGUAGGUGCUUCUGAAGUUUGCCUCAUCCACCUGGAACCCUAUUCAAAAUCAUUCCUUUAAGCACUGAACUGGAUGCAAAGGGGAGAAGCCCUGCUCCCUGGACGCUUAGAAAGCCAAGGGUGCCGGGCCCUGCCUCGCACGCUGCGCACGGGAUUGAGACAAGCAGCCGAGCGGCCAAACCAGCUGACCCCGUUCUUCCUAACCCCGAGGCCUAUGGUUCUUUCAAUGACGUGAGAGAGAGAAAGAGGCAAGUGAGCACACAGGCUAAAAGUCAUGCAGGAAAAGUACCUCCCGGGGCGGAGCACCUGCCAGGCAUCCAGGCAGUGAGCGAGACAACGGAGGCCCCUGCUUUCAGAGAGCAGGCGGCUUACUCACAUACAUGAACCCCCCAGUCUGAGGACUUUCCCUCUUCCCUCCUCUUCUAGAAAACCGAAGAAAAUCCUGGCCCUCUUCCUUCUGCCCAUGUUGGGCAGCUGAUGGCUCCUGGUGGACACAAAACUCUUUUCCGCCUGGGGCUCGAGGUGUCCUCCACAGGGAGGCUGCAGGCUGACCCUUUACCAUCUUUCAGGGUGCAGCUUAAGUCAGGUCCUCGGAGAGGCCGUCCUUUACCCCUGUAAUCUCCUCUCAUAACACCCUGCUUAUUUCCUUCAUUGCCCUGUCACAACUGCAAUUAUUGUUUAUUAUUUAUCUGCUUAUUGUCUACCUCCUCUAAGAAACCGUCUCUGUCUCAUUCACUAUUAAGUCUGUAACAUCUAUCACACGUCUGUACACAGGUGUCCACUUAGGUUCCACAGGUAGGAACUCAGUCAAUAUUGGCUGAACUACAAAUCAAUGUGGAUUACACCUUCCACAUAAGCCUUCUCUGGGACCACAUCACAAGCAUUCCCGAACUGGGAUGCCUCACCUUCUACCCAUGGUGCCAGGUAGCAGCCACUAUUGCACUUGGCUUCUUUUCCGCAUCUGAGCUUUCAGCACCCACAUCUUCAAAGGGCACAGAGCACCCGCCUGCUAAUCUCAGUGCAUCCCUAGCGCUGCUUGCGCAGCCAUGAGGCCUGCUUGUGGCUGAGCAGAGCUCCCCCUGUGGGAGCGUACUGACCACCAGGGGGCAGCUCCUGCAUUGAGCGUCUGCCCCCUGGACCAGUCGUUCCCGGUCAUUCUGCUGUUAGGGUCAAUUUGCAUAUUACCCUUUUAUUAUAUAGGAUUUGUUGGGCUUUUCCUGGUAACAGCACCCCAGUAGAAAAAUAUAGGAAAUUAUCCCUUACUAUUGUGGGCAAUAUUGACAGAACUGUCACUCAAAGUGCCCUGGCCUGGCAAGUGGCAGCCUGGGACCUAAGCUAGACAAACUGGGCUCCGUCUGCUGAGAUGUCGAGUCUCACACAGGAAAACAAAAGGAUGCACCACACUGUCCACUAGCUCCUGUCAAUGCAUCUAUCCCUUCUGAACCCCGUUUUCAGUUGAUUUUUUUAUUCUGUGAGCUAUCCCAUUGCCAUCUAGUGAAACCCAGCAUUUGCUUGAGUCUUGUUUUCCCAUGGCUGCCAGAACAAAAUGCAUUCCACAGACGGGCAUCGUAGAACCAGAGAAAGUGUUCUCUCACUGGAGAAUUAGGAGGCGAGAGGUCUGACGUCAGCAUGCGGCAGGGGUGGUUCCGUCUGGAAGCUCUGAGGGAAGAGCCUGCUCCAUGCCUCUCCCCCAGGUUUUGGUGGCCACUGGUCAUCUGUAGCAUUCCUUGGCUUCUGGGUGCAUCACUCCACUCCUGCUUCUGCCUUCACAUGGCCUUCUCUUCUGUGUGUUUGUGUCCAAAUUUCCCUCUUCCUAUAAGGACACCAGCCAUGGGGAUAGGGCCCCACCCUAACCCAGUGCAACCUCUUUUUAACUUGACUAGAUUGGAAGACCCUGCUUCAAACUGAGGUCACAUUCAGAGGUUUCAAGUGGAUAUAGAUUUUAAGGGGUCACUAUUCAACCCAGUGCAACACUCAACCAAAAAACCUCGGGUCCACUUAGGUUCCACUGUGAAGAGUGGGUUCUAUACAUAGUCUGCUUUAGUCCUGACAACACUUGAAGUGGACAUGGCCUAUCUUCAUCUUAGAGAUGGAAAAAUGAAGACCUAGAGAAUUUGUUUGAAGUCAAAUGACUGGUAAGAGGCAAUUAAGAUUCAAAGCAAACCUGGGACUAGGUCUGCACAUCUCCACAAGACCGCCUGCUCUCUGUACGCAGUCCUAGGUGACAAGCAAAGGCAGGAAGUCUGGACAACAGCAAGAGCCUGAGGGAAUCAGAGAACUGCCACAAUUGCCUGGUCAGACAUCCACGUGGGCAGCAGUGGCAGGAAGAGACCUGCUGAGCUCUGGGUCAGAUGGGCAAAGAGACAGGAAUAGAAGGAAAGAAAAUUGUAAAGAACAUAAAUGAAGAGGGAAACGUACAAAUCCUCCUGUCUCUGCAGACGCUGAAGAGGCCGGUGCUCCAGUCCCCGCCAGUCUGGACAACGGUGGUGACCGCGGUCCUGCCUCUGGCUCCCCGGACGGGCUGCUUCACCACAGCCUGGGCUGGCGCCUGGUUCCUGGCGAGUCAAGGAUGGUGAUUAAUUAGGAAACAAAGCUCCGAAGGAUGACCAUUAAGCCAAGACAGAGCCAUAAAGAGGAGACACGGGCCCAGGGAAGCCAAGCCCAAGCCGACCUCACCAUCGCCCUCCCUCCUCCUCCUUCCUACCUUCUCGGACUUCUUGCCCCACUGCUACUAAUGGCAUUAUUAUUCCAGGUCCUGUCCCUCACACUCAAUGUCCAGUCUACUUCCUCAGUGCUUCCUAAUAGUCAAUCACAAACUUGGAAGUAAGGGGCCUCAGCUCAGAUCCCAGCACGCCACUGCCUGGAACAGGAGGCAGGCUGGAAGGGAAGAGGAUGCUUGUGACGUAGGCAGUGAGGCACCAGGGGGCAGACAGCUGGCUGUGCUAUGGCAGGGAGGCCAGGGCUGGGAGCUGCCCGUCUAGAUGUGACAAGCAGGGCCCUUUCACUAGCCAUUCGGCAGUACAGGCGAUGCUGAGGGGCCUAAGCUUUUCAAGAGCCUACAAAAGUGAGACCUGGGAAAAGGUACUGGCUCCAGAACAGAAAAACUGCAAAACAGAAAUCACUUAAUGCUCCAUUAAACACAAAAAUCUGGCAUUGUGUCACUCUCACUCAUUGUCAAAUUCAGAAUUCACAAAUAUUUCAUUACAUUUGGAAACAACUUACAAUUUUCAUUUUUUUAAAAAAUCCCAAGUGUGUAGGACUGCUGAGAAGCAGCAGCCAAUCAAACAUGACUCACAGCCAAAUAAUUUCAAAAGCAAAAUUAUAAAAAUCGUUUUGCUUACGAUAUGGCAAAAAACAACAUAUGGCUAUAACGUAUGGUAUGGACACAUUUGAAUAUGUUUGUCAUAAUGUGGGUGAGCACCUACCGCUAUGGACUGAAUCGUGUCCCCCAAAUUCAUGUCGAAGCUGACCCCCAACGUGACUGUGUUUGUCAAUAGGGCUUUUCGGAGGAUAUGAAAGUUAAAUGGGGCGUGGGGUGGGGUCUGGUCCGAUUGGAUUGCUGGCUGGAAGAGCAGGAAAGGCCAUCCAUGUACACACACAGGGAGAAGGCUGCAGGCAGAAAGAGUCCCCGCCACAACCCGGCCCUGCGGGCUCCCCGACCCUGCACAUCCAGACUCCAGAACUAGGAGAAAAUAAACUCCCAUUCUUCAAGCCACCCAGUCCACGAUAUUUCACUAUGGCAGCCCAAGCUAAGAAACGUGUGCGGACUUCAAACCGGCCCUGAAAAAUAACUCCCUUUACACUAUCUUAUGUCCUGUUUCCAUGGAAGCUCCAAGGUUGGGCCCACACUGCCUCUCCGGUGGCCACAGAAUCCAGUGUGUGCCCUUGAACCAGGUGGGUGCAUGUAUUUGUUGAAUUGGGUCAAAUUGAAUCGAAUUGAAUCACAUGUCUCUUCCAUUGCAUUUGAGCCCUCAAGUCUAGGUACCAGCGAGGUGGCCUUCAGUGUGUUUCAGCCUCCGGGGAGGCAGGGCUCUCGGGUGUGAGCUGAAGAAGCCUGCAGAGCAGCCUGCAGCUGCCUGACCCCUCACAGGGCCCUGACCACUCACAGGGGCUCACCUCUCCCUGUGCUGAUGCCCUCCAGGUGGCGCUUCCCUCAGGAUGCCAAGAGCUUCCAAUUAUCUCCAACUUUCAGAAGAGGAAUGUCUUAGCUCCGAGCCCCUGGAUUCCACCUCUCCCUGAAGUAAACCAUCUACAUCCGGCAGCCCUAGACUAGAUGUGUCUGCCUCUACCUCACUCGGCAUCAUGUGAGCAGCACCUUUUGUUACAGGGAGGCAGCCUGCCCCUCUCUGUUCUAAAUCAAAUAACUAAGAGGAUCGCUUUUCCUUCGUGAAAAUAAAAGUUGGUUUUUAGGGGGUGUUUUACCUAAUUUUGAACACAAGAAAUACAGUAUUGAGUUUCUUGCCUUUA